RNAcentral lists this long non-coding RNA (214 nucleotides) under Setaria viridis. RNAcentral's name for it is "long non-coding RNA (SVIR_LNC000562)". The record is from RNAcentral. Lineage: Eukaryota; Viridiplantae; Streptophyta; Magnoliopsida; Poales; Poaceae.
CGGUGGAUGUGCAGGUAAUUUUAGAUUAUGGUGCAAAUUUACUCCCGCAUGAAUUUUUUUUCUGAUUUCUUAUUAUCCAUCAUUAUUUCACAAGUAGGUUUUUAUAAAAUCAUUUUCAAAGAGGUAGCAAUGAUGCAAUCGAUAUGAAACACUGUAGAAUUUCCUUGUGUUGACCAUAUAUCAGCCAAAAAACAUUCUGGAACCACAUCAGCAU